UACGGAAUGUGCAAACGUUAUUCGGAAUCACUGGGCUUAAAGAGUCCGUAGGCGGCAUGUUAGGUGAGGUGUGAAAUCCCCCGGCUCAACCGAGGAAUUGCGCUUCAAACCGGCGUGCUAGAGGAAGAUAGAGGUGGGCGGAACUGAUGGUGGAGCGGUGAAAUGCGUUGAUAUCAUCAGGAACACCGGAGGCGAAGGCGGCCCACUGGGCCUGACCUGACGCUGAGGAGCGAAAGCGUGGGGAGCGAACAGG
RNAcentral lists this ribosomal RNA (253 nucleotides) under uncultured bacterium. Its description in RNAcentral is "partial 16S ribosomal RNA". It matches the Rfam family "Bacterial small subunit ribosomal RNA", at positions 524 to 776 of the family's 1533-position model. The record is from RNAcentral.